RNAcentral lists this ribosomal RNA (779 nucleotides) under uncultured Neocallimastigales. Its description in RNAcentral is "partial large subunit ribosomal RNA". It matches the Rfam family "Eukaryotic large subunit ribosomal RNA", at positions 18 to 635 of the family's 3401-position model. The record is from RNAcentral. Lineage: Eukaryota; Fungi; Neocallimastigomycota; Neocallimastigomycetes; Neocallimastigales.
UCAGACGAUGCGUCAUGCAUAUCAAUAAGCGGAGGAAAAGAAACUAACAAGGAUUCCCUUAGUAACGGCGAGUGAAGCGGGAAGAGCUCAAAUUUGAAAUCUUCAAGGUUUUACCUUGACGAAUUGUAGUUUAAAGAAGUGUUUUCUGUUGAAGUUUUGGUAAAAGUUCUUUGGAAUAGGACAUCCAUAGAGGGUGAGAAUCCCGUAUUUGACCAGUUACUUUUCCAGCUGUGUGAUACACUUUCAAAGAGUCGGAUUGUUUGGGAAUGCAGUCCAAAAUGGGUGGUAAAUUUCAUCUAAAGCUAAAUAUUGGCGAGAGACCGAUAGCGAACAAGUACCGUGAGGGAAAGAUGAAAAGAACUUUGAAAAGAGAGUUAAACAGUACGUGAAAUUGUCAAAAGGGAAGCGUUUGACACCAGUGUUGUUUUCUCGAAAAUCAAUUAAAAAGAGUUGGAUUUUGUGUUGUAUUGACCUUAACAGCUUGCUUCACUCUUUUCCUGCUUUUUUUAAUGCACUUUUCGUUUAACAAGUCAACAUCAGUUUCUUUUGUUGUAAAAGGGUCAUUGGAAGGUGGCUUUCUCUUCGGAGAAAGUGUUUAUAGCCUUUGAUCUCUGCAAUCGGAGAGACUGAGGUCUGCAGCGUAGAUCCUUCGGGGUUAGAUACAUUUGUGCUAAGCUACAGCUUUUCAUAGACAACUUGUUGACUAUGUUAGGUCUUGUAACUUUACCCGCUUAUGCUAUUUUACCUACGCUUAGGAUGUUGAUAUGCAUGACUGAUAU